UACGGAGGGUGCAAGCAUUAAUCGGAUUUAUUGGGCGUAAAGGGCGCGUAGGCGGAAAUGUAAGUCAGAUGUGAAAUCCCGGGGCUCAACCCCGGAACAGCAUUUGAAACUGCGUUUCUCGAGGGUAGACGGAGAAAACAGAAUUCCACAAGUAGCGGUGAAAUGCGUAGAUAUGUGGAAGAAUACCGGUGGCGAAGGCGGUUUUCUAGUUUAUACCUGACGCUGAGGCGCGAAAGCAAGGGGAUCAAACAGG
RNAcentral lists this ribosomal RNA (253 nucleotides) under uncultured bacterium. Its description in RNAcentral is "partial 16S ribosomal RNA". It matches the Rfam family "Bacterial small subunit ribosomal RNA", at positions 524 to 776 of the family's 1533-position model. The record is from RNAcentral.